AGUGAACGCUGGCGGCAGGCCUAACACAUGCAAGUCGAGCGGCAGCGCGUCCGACCACCCUCGGGUGGUCGGAUGGCGGCGAGCGGCGGACGGGUGAGGAAUGCAUCGGAAUCUGCCUCGUUGUGGGGGAUAACGUAGGGAAACUUACGCUAAUACCGCAUAAGCCCUGAGGGGGAAAGCAGGGGAUCGCAAGACCUUGCGCGAAUGGAGCGGCCGAUAUCAGAUUAGCUAGUUGGUGAGGUAAAGGCUCACCAAGGCGACGAUCUGUAGCGGGUCUGAGAGGAUGAUCCGCCACACUGGAACUGAGACACGGUCCAGACUCCUACGGGAGGCAGCAGUGGGGAAUUUUGGACAAUGGGCGCAAGCCUGAUCCAGCCAUGCCGCGUGAAGGAUGAAGGCCCUAUGGGUUGUAAACUUCUUUUGUACGGGAAAAAACCUUCUUACGUGUAAGAAGCUGAUUGUACUGUAAGAAUAAGGAUCGGCUAACUCCGUG
Molecule: ribosomal RNA, 493 nt
Filed under: uncultured bacterium
Lineage: Bacteria
Description: bacterial SSU rRNA
Rfam family: Bacterial small subunit ribosomal RNA
Source: RNAcentral